CCUACGGGAGGCAGCAGGGAGGAAUAUUGGGCAAUGGGCGCGAGCCUGAACCAGCCAAGUAGCGGGAAGGAUGAAGGCCCUACGGGUUGUAAACUUCUUUUAUAAAGGAAUAAAGUGAGGCACGUGUGCCUUUUUGUAUGUACCUUAUGAAUAAGGAUCGGCUAACUCCGUGCCAGCAGCCGCGGUAAUACGGAGGAUCCGAGCGUUAUCCGGAUUUAUUGGGUUUAAAGGGAGCGUAGAGGGGUUGUUAAGUCCGUUUUGAAAGUUUGCGGCUCAACCGUAAAAUUGCAAUUGAUACUGGCAGUCUUGAGUACAGUUGAGGUAGGCGGAAUUCGUGGUGUAGCGGUGAACUGCUUCGAUAUCACGCAGAACUCCGAUUGCGAAGGCAGCUUACUAAACUGCCACUGACAUUGAUGCUCGAAAGUGUGGGUAUCAAACAGGAUUAGAUACCCUAGUAGUC
This 460-nucleotide ribosomal RNA is filed under the name uncultured bacterium. RNAcentral's name for it is "partial 16S ribosomal RNA". It matches the Rfam family "Bacterial small subunit ribosomal RNA", at positions 338 to 795 of the family's 1533-position model. The record is from RNAcentral.